RNAcentral lists this long non-coding RNA (1302 nucleotides) under Homo sapiens (human). Its description in RNAcentral is "HSALNT0289624". The record is from RNAcentral. Lineage: Eukaryota; Metazoa; Chordata; Mammalia; Primates; Hominidae.
CGCAGCAAGGGCCAGACUCUGCGCUAGCAGGCGCUGCGCGCCAACCGGCCGGCACCUGUCGCAGAAGGUGCAACCGAUCGCACUGUCGCGCAGAAGCUCCUCAAUGGCCAGCGCCAGCUGCAGCCCCGGCCGCCCACUCGCCUCAUCUGAGCCUGGGCAAAUCUGGAUUGGGAAAGUUGACAUUAAUCAACUCAUUAUUCCUCACAGAUUUGUAUUCUCCAGAGUAUCCAGGUCCUUCUCAGAGAAUUAAAAAGCCUGUACAGGUCUAGAUAUUGGUAUUUUUAAUUGAUGAUAAGCUGGAAUAAUAUUAAUACACACAAAGCACGUGUUGUAACUUUCAUUAUGCUUCCUUAGAGCGCUGCUCUAAGCUGUUGAUGAAAAAUAUUGUUGGUGAGCUCUGCUUAGGUAAUAUAUAGGACAUGAGCAGAGAGGAGGCACGUGAACAGUUCUGGCCUGGAGUAGGCUUCAUUGAGGCUGUGAUGCUUUUAGCUGGAUUUGAAGAAGUGGUAGUGAUCAUCCCAGUGCACAGGAUAGGUGGACAGUCUAUGUAUUCUGAGCAGUAACUCAUAUAUCUCAUACUGCAAGACCCCAAAGGAGUAAUUUUGUGAACUCUGUUCACGGAAAGGGCCUGGGAGCUGCAACACCUCAACAGCAACAAGCACACCUGCUACCUAGAACUUGGUUUCUAAAAACCAUCCUCCUCUAAAAGGAAACAGAGCUCUUUGAAGAAACGCAGAAGGUAAGCAUGAGCAAAUUACUUUUUAGAGGUAACUUUGCUGAACUUGUGAAGAAUGGUGUGCAAGGUCCAGAGCGACUGCAGGAGAGGGAAGGUGGGAUUCCCACAGAGCAGGAGCACAGAUAAGCCAAGCAAGGCCCUGCUUGGAAGGCAGCAAUCAACAGAGAUGCACAGACCUGUGAGGGUGCCGGGACAGCCAUGCAACAAUGCAGCCCUUUUGCUUCCUGAGCUCACCAGUUCCCUCGCUCCACCUCUGAGAGGUGGUUUGGAGAAACACAGCCCUUCUCAAGAGGGCUGCAAGCUACUUAAGUCCUGAAAAUUUCCACAAGGCUGAGUCAAAUCUGCGUUUCAUCAUCUAUAAGAAAGGUACCUAUCGAGAACACCCUGCUGGCCAGUGUGUAAAUAUCUAAAGGAGGACUCAGAAAACACCGGGGAAGUCCAGCCUGCACGUGGUGGCUGGGCUUCAGUGAAGCAUGCAGCACAACAGGAGUUAGCAGCCAUGCACUGCCCAGGCUGGAAGUAUGCUCAACCACAAGGGUCAGGGCUGGGAGAGGCGCUUCGGUAGC